AGGACGAACGCUGGCGGCGUGCUUAACACAUGCAAGUCGAGCGGUAAGGCUCCUUCGGGAGUACACGAGCGGCGAACGGGUGAGUAACACGUGAGCAAUCUGCCCUUCACACUGGGAUAACCCCGGGAAACCGGGGCUAAUACCGGAUGCGACCACCGACGGCAUCGUCUGGUGGUGGAAAGUUCCGGCGGUGGGGGAUGAGCUCGCGGCCUAUCAGCUUGUUGGUGGGGUAAUGGCCUACCAAGGCUUCGACGGGUAGCCGGCCUGAGAGGGUGACCGGCCACACUGGGACUGAGACACGGCCCAGACUCCUACGGGAGGCAGCAGUGGGGAAUAUUGGACAAUGGGCGAAAGCCUGAUCCAGCAACGCCGCGUGAGGGAUGACGGCCUUCGGGUUGUAACCUCUUUCAGCAGGGACGAAGCGCAAGUGACGGUACCUGCAGAAGAAGCACCGGCCAACUACGUGCCAGCAGCCGC
This 477-nucleotide ribosomal RNA is filed under the name uncultured bacterium. RNAcentral describes it as "SSU rRNA". It matches the Rfam family "Bacterial small subunit ribosomal RNA", at positions 26 to 518 of the family's 1533-position model. The record is from RNAcentral.